GCCCCGCCCUUCCUCCCCCUCCCCAUUGUAAAUAGAAUGCCCUCAGUGGGGAAGGGAUGAUGGGAGUUGCAGUCAAGUCAGGCCAGAAGAGAUGUGCCUCCUGGGUUGGCAUCGUAUAUACAGCCUUUAUAAACGGCACAUUUUUGACUCAGAUCGGCCUGACUUGCUAUGAGGACAGAAUGGGAAGGAAAAGAGCCAGGCUGCAGCCUUCAAUUUGUGGCAAUCAAUAGAAAGAACAAGAGGAAUCCUCUCUCCUCUGCGGGAGUCUGCCAUAUACCAUGCAGCUGUGAACAAAUCUACAUAGGGACCGCCAAAUGCAGCAGCAUGGCCCAAACAUGAAUCAAGGAACAUGAAAGGCACUGCAGACUUAACUCAACCAGAGAAGACAGCCAUAACAGGGCACUUGAUGAACCAACCUGGAUACAGCAUAUUAUUUGAAAACACAGAAAUGCUGGACCGCUCUAACCACCACCAUGUCAGACUACACAGAGAAGCCAAUGUGGCUGAUUUCAACAGAAAGGAGGAAACCAUAAAAAUGAACAAAAUCUGGCUACCAGUAUUAAAAAAUUCUAAACUCAGUACAGUAAAUAAAGAACAACACUCUGAAAACAGGGGAAUUUCAGACAUGAAACAAUCAGGGCUAGCUAAUACCUCCCAACAAAGGAUGCCCCCAGGCAAAAUGCAGCCAGACUUUGAAUCCUCAAGGCAAUUAAAUGCUAAUCAAGCUGGCCAAUUGCAACAUUCACACCUGCCUCAAAUAGACAAGAGUUCUUUCCCCCAACCUGGAUUUUGCACAGAUAAAUAAAUCCCACUUGCCUAGUUUCCCAACAGAACUCGCAACUUCUGAGGAUGCCUGCCAUAGAUAUGGGUGAAGCGUCAGGAGAUAGUGCUUCUGGAAAACUCACAGCAACCCAGUGACUCUGGCCAGGAAAGGCUUUGGCAACAAUAAAAAGGUAGUAAAUAAAAAAAACAAGAGCCAAGGCAGACAAGCAACAGCUGAUUUCCUCUCCUUGCAGUUUCUAGGUGGAAAGAGAAAGAGGCACUUAGAAAAAAAGGGGCGGGGAGAGAGAAUUGGUGUGGGCAGCACAAACAUUCGUAGGGAAAUUGUGGUUUUGGACCUCAGGCAUUUGUAAGAAAUUGAUUCGAAACAAGUCUUUCUGUUUUUACAAAGAGCAUAGGGAAGAUAACACUAAGAAUAAAAAUGCUAAAUGGAACCGAAGCAGACAAGAAAGAUUACUUUUUGUGAGUAAUCUGGAACAGAGACAAUAUCCACAUGUGUUCUCCCAUCUCGCUUGUUGUGAAUUACUGUAGACCACAGCUUUCCAAACACUUUGUAGACAGGCAUCAUUUCAGAAAACAGUGCUUCAAUUUUACUAAAAAAUUGGAAGUUAAACAAACUCCUUAUAAGACACACAAAUAAAUUGUAAUAACAAAAUGUACGGGCACAAAAUAUGUCUCAUGAAAACCUUUCAUUUGUAUGUUUGAAGAUAUAUGAUUUGUAAGACAAGAAUAUAGAAUCCCUUAUACAGUAUUCCAAAAUACUUCGAAUUGUCCACAUAGAUGUUUGCGGUAAUAACACCUUUGCUUUCUGAUCACUCAAUAUACACAAAACUUGUUUCGGGCACAAAAUUAUUUUUUAAAAUGUUGUAUAAAAUUACCUUCAGGUUGUGUCUAUAACAGUGAUUCCCAAACUUAUUUGGACUAUUUUUUGAACUUAGAAUAGAAAGGUAAUACAAAAAUAGUUAAAACAUUCAAAUGCACCUGUGGCCAUCACCGCCCACCUAGAUCGCUGCAGCGCCCACCAGGGGUGAUAGCACCCACUUUGGGAAUAACUGGUUUACAAGGUGUACUUGAAACAUAUGAAUGUGUUGUCGAAGGCUUUCAUGGCCAGAAUCACUGGGUUGCUGUGAGUUUUCGGGCUUUAGGGCCAUGUUCCAGAAGCAUUCUCUCCUGGUGUGGGCAAAACAUCAGGAGAGAAUGCUUCUGGAAUAUGGCCAUACAGCUCAGAAACUCACAGAAAUCCAACAUAUAUGAAUGUUGUGUUCGACCUGGGUCUCAUCUCCAAGAUAUCUCAUUAUGUACGUAUAUGGGAAUACAGAAAUUCAAAAAUACCCCCAAAAAAUUAUGACAGCCAAAAUGCUUUUGAUGCCAAGUAUUUUGGAUAAGAGAUACCCAAUUUUCAAAAGCUCAAGUUGCAAACUGAUCUUUUUCCAUUCCUUAGGGACAGAUGGCGCUCUUCACUAAAAAAAAUAAUCAUAUACAACUCUAUUACUGAGGGAUGGUAUCAGGGUAAAGCAGAUAGAUUGAUGCUGUCUGCCACUUCUGUUAAGGUAUCAACGUUUUUAACUGGCCAAAUCAUUAUAAUUGUUACAAAGUGUAUAAGAAAUAAUAAAAUUUCCUUCAGAUGCAUGAGGAGCUCCAGCUGAACUUUCAGCAAAAUGACAUAUGAGAGAUACGGCCAAUUUCUCAGCAGUUUUCAACGUUUCCGACUUAAAGGGAACUAACUCUCAGGACCAAGAAUCUAGGAAAAACAGAGUUAUUGCUUUCACACUUUGAGACUAGCUUGACAGAUCUGUAUCAUCUUGGAGAAGUCUUUGAAACUUUAUAUCCAGGGUCACAAUUUGCAUCUUUCUAUAUCCAAUUACAUCUCUACCUCAACUGUAUAACUGCAAUACAACUAUGUUUUUAACAUUAGCUCAACCAAUGUAUCUGAAGAAGUGGAUUGAAGUCUACAUAAAUUUGUACUAUAAUAUUGGUUAUUCUUAAAGGUAUUGCCAGAUUUUUCUUUUCUUGCUUACACUUUCAUGUUUAUACAGCAGAUUAUGAACUAUUCAUCAUAUUGGAAAGCUGCUGAGCUAUUUCUAGCAUAGCAUCAGUGAUGUCUUCUUUAGAUGUGCUUCAUUGUAGUGGUGUUGCUGCUGUUUUUAAAAAGAUGUUUAUUUAAGCACAGCAGAUUCAUUUAUGAUGUAUAAAAUUAUAAUUAUAAUUGCAUGGGGAAUUGUUGCUUUCCCAGAUACAGAGAUAAAAGGUGUCUUACUGCUCUUUACUAAAGGUGCAUCUGCACUGUGGAAUUAAUGCAGUUUGACACCACUUUAGCUGCUAUGGCUAGAAGCUAUGAAAUCCUGGAAGGUGUGGUUUUACAGUGUCUUUAGUCUUUCCUCACAAAUAGUGCUAAUGCCUCACCAAACUACAGUUCCCAUGAUUCCAUAGCAUUGAAUCAUGGCUGUUAAAGUGAUUCAAGCUGCAUUAAUUCUACAGUGUAGAUGGAUCCUAUGAUGUCCUAACCAAGUGAAAAAAUAUAUAGUGGCAAUCCAAUCAGUAAUACAAUGAAUGCUUACACAGGGAAUAAUUGCCUAUGCAUUGCUUUGUACCACUUGCCACAUUAUCAAAAUAAAUAUAAAUCGCUUUAGUGUUACAGAUGCAGAAUGAUUCUGCAGAAGAUACUGGAAAAAUAACAUCACAAAGAAUGGCUUUUUCAUUUUGUUUGUUGUAUUUUUAUUCUAUGAUCAUGGGGCACAGGGUCCAGAUAUUGCUACAUACUAGUAGUAAAGUCAGCAGAUUCCCAGAUGCAUACACAUGGGGUUUUUUAAUUGAUUAUUAUUAUUAUUAUUAUUAUUAUUAUUAUUAUUAUUAAGCCUUUUUCAGAUGCAGAUGAGUUUUUUUCCCCCUAAGCAAACUUACUUUUCUGCACGAUAAUAUGUUUGCUACCUGGUGGCUUCCAUUUGAAGGUGGUGCCAAAUCCAUCUUGCAUUUUAAUUUAUACUUCAGCAGGGAUAGGUAAGAUGCUAAAUUUAAUCCACCAAUAAAUUCAGCACCUUGGAUAGAUCCUCCAAAGUCUGGAAUAAACUCCACAGUAGAUUUGCCACAUGCAGACAUGGGCUCUCUAUUUUGAAAGCAAAAAGAAACAAGAAGCAAAUGCAAAGUUCUGUGUUUUUCAAAAUGUUCAAGUCUCUGAAAAAGUCAGCAACUAUAAAUAGUGUUUAUUUAUAUUUUAUAUGUAUUGUAAUACUUGGUUUUAUUUAUAAUAGCAAACAGAAAGCAAAAAGUAUAUCUGUUUUGACUUAAAUCAGAACAUACUGAUUAUUUGAACCAUAAGCUGAUAAGUAGAGCCAUGCUUAUGCUCUGCAGUCUCUUUCAAAAUUGGUUCUGUUUAUGGUUUAGAGUGUUGCGAGCUUUUUCAGAAGUGUGAAUGUUUUGAAAGGCACAGAAUCCGUUUGUUUUUUUUAAAGGCCUAGAUUCAGCUUCAGACUUCUGGUGAAAGGAUGUUUCAAUUGCCUUUUCUUAGAACUACUUCUCAUGGCAAACUGUUUAAGGAGAUGAUUCCUUUUCUCUCUUUUUCCAAUAUUUGUAAUUAUACUCUUGCUGUAACAAAAAAUAUAAACCUCUCUUGAAUUUUUUUAUUAUAAUUAAUUUAAUUGCAAUACAACCCCCAUAUUUGUGUGAUGUAAGUUCUUGCAUUCACAGUGGAAAAGUAAAAUUAUGGAUAGUAGUAAAGUACACUGAAAUGAACUUCUGGUAUAAGCAUACCAGAUAAUUGCACUUGAAAACCAAGAAAAUACCUAGAGAUGACAGGAGCGGCAUGGGAAAACAAAGCCAUGAGUACAAAUCCUGCAGAUACAGGGAGUUCUGUAAUUAAUGAAUACAGUGGGAACUUUGGUAUCUACUGGGCUUGGUUCCAGGUUGUCUCAUGGAUACUAAAAUCUGUGGUUGCUCAAGUCUCAUUAUAUACAAUAGUGUAGUAAAAUGGUGUCCCUCAUUAAAAACAGCAAAAUCAA
This is a long non-coding RNA of Anolis carolinensis (green anole), 4775 nucleotides long. RefSeq lists it as uncharacterized. The transcript is spliced from 2 exons. The record is from RefSeq and is a predicted model, not a curated record. NCBI's taxonomy places the organism in Eukaryota, Metazoa, Chordata, Lepidosauria, Squamata, Anolidae.